Molecule: unclassified non-coding RNA, 204 nt
Filed under: Hevea brasiliensis (rubber tree)
Lineage: Eukaryota; Viridiplantae; Streptophyta; Magnoliopsida; Malpighiales; Euphorbiaceae
Source: RNAcentral
UGGCAUAAAGCUACAUGUAAGUAUGUACCAUGUUCAGUACUGGCUUUCUAAAUGAGUUAAAAUUGUAUUUCUAUACGUGCCUAAACAUGUCUAUAUCAGUUAUCUGUCUGAUAGAACGGAUUCGGUCCAAGCCAACAUGAGGUCCCGAACGACUGCUGGAAAAUCUCGAGCUACUUCCAAAGCCAUUGAUGGCAUGUCUAUCUG